This 377-nucleotide ribosomal RNA is filed under the name uncultured bacterium. RNAcentral describes it as "partial 16S ribosomal RNA". It matches the Rfam family "Bacterial small subunit ribosomal RNA", at positions 338 to 707 of the family's 1533-position model. The record is from RNAcentral.
CCUACGGGUGGCAGCAGUGGGGAAUAUUGCGCAAUGGGCGAAAGCCUGAUGCAGCGACGCCGCGUGAGGGAUGAAGGUCUUCGGAUCGUAAAGCUCUGUUAGUAGGGAAGAACGUUCAUUGUGCUAAUUAGUAGUGAAUUGACGGUAUCCGCAAAGGAAGUACCGGCUAACUCCGUGCCAGCAGCCGCGGUAAUACGGAGGGUGCGAGCGUUAACCGGAAUUUCUGGGGGUAAAGCGUUCGUGGGCGGUCUGUCAAGUCAAGGGUGAAAUCCCCGGGCUCAACGCGGGAACUGCCGUUGAAACGGGCAGACUUGAGUGUGAGAGAAGAUAGUGGAAUGCGAGGUGUAGGGGUGAAAUGCGUAGAUAUCGCGAGGAAC